CUGGAGAUCCUACGGGAGGCAGCAGUGAGGAAUAUUGGUCAAUGGACGGAAGUCUGAACCAGCCAAGUAGCGUGCAGGAUGACGGCCCUAUGGGUUGUAAACUGCUUUUGUAUGGGGAUAAAGUUAGGGACGUGUCCCUAUUUGCAGGUACCAUACGAAUAAGGACCGGCUAAUUCCGUGCCAGCAGCCGCGGUAAUACGGAAGGUCCAGGCGUUAUCCGGAUUUAUUGGGUUUAAAGGGAGCGUAGGCUGGAGAUUAAGUGUGUUGUUAAAUGUGGACGUUCAACGUCUGAAUGGCAGCGCAUACUGGUUUCGUUGAGUACGCACAACGUUGGCGGAAUUCGUCGUGUAGCGGUGAAAUGCUUAGAUAUGACGAAGAACUCCGAUUGCGAAGGCAGCUGACGGGAGCGCAACUGACGCUUAAGCUCGAAGGUGCGGGUAUCGAACAGGAUUAGAAACCCCGGUAGUCCUAG
RNAcentral lists this ribosomal RNA (472 nucleotides) under uncultured bacterium. RNAcentral describes it as "bacterial SSU rRNA". It matches the Rfam family "Bacterial small subunit ribosomal RNA", at positions 330 to 799 of the family's 1533-position model. The record is from RNAcentral.